GCUUAACACAUGCAAGUCGAACGGAAAGGCCCUGCUUUUGUGGGGUGCUCGAGUGGCGAACGGGUGAGUAACACGUGAGUAACCUGCCCUUGACUUUGGGAUAACUUCAGGAAACUGGGGCUAAUACCGGAUAGGAGCUCCUGCUGCAUGGUGGGGGUUGGAAAGUUUCGGCGGUUGGGGAUGGACUCGCGGCUUAUCAGCUUGUUGGUGGGGUAGUGGCUUACCAAGGCUUUGACGGGUAGCCGGCCUGAGAGGGUGACCGGCCACAUUGGGACUGAGAUACGGCCCAGACUCCUACGGGAGGCAGCAGUGGGGAAUAUUGCACAAUGGGCGGAAGCCUGAUGCAGCAACGCCGCGUGUGGGAUGACGGCCUUCGGGUUGUAAACCGCUUUCGCCUGUGACGAAGCGUGAGUGACGGUAAUGGGUAAAGAAGCACCGGCUAACUACGUGCCAGCAGCCGCGGUGAUACGUAGGGUGCGAGCGUUGUCCGGAUUUAUUGGGCGUAAAGGGCUCGUAGGUGGUUGAUCGCGUCGGAAGUGUAAUCUUGGGGCUUAACCCUGAGCGUGCUUUCGAUACGGGUUGACUUGAGGAAGGUAGGGGAGAAUGGAAUUCCUGGUGGAGCGGUGGAAUGCGCAGAUAUCAGGAGGAACACCAGUGGCGAAGGCGGUUCUCUGGGCCUUUCCUGACGCUGAGGAGCGAAAGCGUGGGGAGCGAACAGGCUUAGAUACCCUGGUAGUCCACGCUGUAAACGGUGGGUACUAGGUGUGGGGUCCAUUCCACGGGUUCCGUGCCGUAGCUAACGCUUUAAGUACCCCGCCUGGGGAGUACGGCCGCAAGGGUUAAAACUCAAAGGGAUUGGACGGGGGCCCCGCACAAGGCGGCGGAGCCAUGCGGAUUUAAUUUCGAUGCAAACGCGUAGGAACCUUACCUGGGUUUGACAUGGAUCGGGAGUGCUCAGAGAUGGGUGUGCCUCUUUUGGGGUCGGUUCACAGGUGGUGCAUGGCUGUCGUCAGCUCGUGUCGUGAGAUGUUGGGUUAAGUCCCGCAACGAGCGCAACCCUUGUUCACUGUUGCCAGCACGUUAUGGUGGGGACUCAGUGGAGACCGCCGGGGUCAACUCGGAGGAAGGUGGGGAUGACGUCAAGUCAUCAUGCCCCUUAUGUCCAGGGCUUCACGCAUGCUACAAUGGCUGGUACAGAGAGUGGCGAGCCUGUGAGGGUGAGCGAAUCUCGGAAAGCCGGUCUCAGUUCGGAUUGGGGUCUGCAACUCGACCUCAUGAAGUCGGAGUCGCUAGUAAUCGCAGAUCAGCAACGCUGCGGUGAAUACGUUCCCGGGGCUUGUACACACCGCCCGUCAAGUCAUGAAAGUUGGUAACACCCGAAGCCGGUGGCCUAACCAUUGUGGGGGAGCCGUCGAAGGUGGGACUGGUGAUUAGG
Molecule: ribosomal RNA, 1435 nt
Filed under: uncultured organism
Description: 16S ribosomal RNA
Rfam family: Bacterial small subunit ribosomal RNA
Source: RNAcentral